AACGCGAAGAACCUUACCAGUCCUUGACAUGUGAAGUAUGGGCUUGAGAGAUCAAGCCCUUCGGUUCGGCCGGCUUCAACACAGGUGCUGCAUGGCUGUCGUCAGCUCGUGUCGUGAGAUGUUGGGUUAAGUCCCGCAACGAGCGCAACCCUCAUCUUUAGUUGCCCCCGGGUCAGGCCGGGCACUCUAAAGAAACCGCCGGUGACAAGCCGGAGGAAGGCGGGGAUGACGUCAAGUCCUCAUGGCCCUUACGGACUGGGCUACACACGUACUACAAUGGUGGUGACAGUGGGCUGCGAAGGAGCGAUCCGGAGCCAAUCCCCAAAAGCCAUCUCAGUUCAGAUUGCACUCUGCAACUCGAGUGCAUGAAGUUGGAAUCGCUAGUAAUCGCAGAUCAGCACGCUGCGGUGAAUACGUUCCCGGGCCUUGUACACACCGCUAGUC
This 444-nucleotide ribosomal RNA is filed under the name uncultured bacterium. RNAcentral describes it as "bacterial SSU rRNA". It matches the Rfam family "Bacterial small subunit ribosomal RNA", at positions 958 to 1398 of the family's 1533-position model. The record is from RNAcentral.